CCAGCUUUCCCGUUUCCAUCUGCCAUUGCCGAGUGUUGUGUGUGUGGUGUGUUAUUUUAAAGCUGCGAACUGAUUGGUUUUAAGAGGAUGGCAUUAAAUACAUCUGAAUAUUCCAAAGA
Molecule: long non-coding RNA, 119 nt
Organism: Drosophila yakuba
Lineage: Eukaryota; Metazoa; Arthropoda; Insecta; Diptera; Drosophilidae
Exons: 2
Source: RefSeq, a predicted model, not a curated record